This 376-nucleotide ribosomal RNA is filed under the name Isoclerus sp. 1 NLG-2013. RNAcentral's name for it is "partial 12S ribosomal RNA". The record is from RNAcentral. Lineage: Eukaryota; Metazoa; Arthropoda; Insecta; Coleoptera; Thanerocleridae.
UAAAGUUAAAGAAUAUGGCAGUAUUUUAAUUUUUUCAGAGGAACCUGUUAUAUAAUUGAUAGUCCACGAUUAGUUUUACUUAUUUUUUAAAUUUAUAUAUCAUUGUAGUUAAAUAUUUUUAAAAAAUAUAUUUAAUUUUUAUUUUUAUAAUAAAAAUCAAAUCAAGGUAUAGUUUAUAGGUAAGAAGAUAUGGGUUACAAUUAAAUUAUUAUUGGAAAAAAUUAUUAAAUAGUUUUAAAAAUUGGAUUUGAAAGUAAUUAUUUAAGUUUAUUAGUAAUGAUUUAACUCUAAAAUAUGUACAUAUUGCCCGUCGCUUUUGUUUUUAAAAUGAAAUAAGUCGUAACAAAGUAGGUUUACUGGAAAGUGAGUCUAGAAU